This 330-nucleotide unclassified non-coding RNA is filed under the name soil metagenome. Its description in RNAcentral is "partial contains 5.8S ribosomal RNA, internal transcribed spacer 2, and large subunit ribosomal RNA". The stretch from base 1 to 120 matches the Rfam family "5.8S ribosomal RNA", at positions 35 to 154 of the family's 154-position model. The record is from RNAcentral.
GAUGAAGAACGUAUCGAAAUGCGAUAAGUAAUGUGAAUUGCAGAAUUCAGUGAAUCAUCGAAUCUUUGAACGCACAUUGCGCCCCCUGGUAUUCCGGGGGGCAUGCCUGUUCGAGCGUCAUUUCACCACUCAAGCCUCGCUUGGUAUUGGGCAACGCGGUCCGCCGCGUGCCUCAAAUCGACCGGCUGGGUCUUCUGUCCCCUAAGCGUUGUGGAAACUUUCGCUAAAGGGUGUUCGGGAGGCUACGCCGUAAAACAACCCCAUUUCUAAGGUUGACCUCGGAUCAGGUAGGGAUACCCGCUGAACUUAAGCAUAUCAAUAAGCGGAGGA